CGGGGCGUAGCGAAGCUUGGUUUAUCGCGCCUGGUUUGGGACCAGGAGGUCGUCAGUUCGAAUCUGACCGCCCCGA
This 76-nucleotide transfer RNA is filed under the name Candidatus Omnitrophota bacterium. RNAcentral describes it as "tRNA-Pro". It matches the Rfam family "tRNA". From Rfam's summary of the family: Transfer RNA (tRNA) molecules are approximately 80 nucleotides in length. Their secondary structure includes four short double-helical elements and three loops (D, anti-codon, and T loops). The record is from RNAcentral. Lineage: Bacteria; Pseudomonadati; Candidatus Omnitrophota.